This 843-nucleotide unclassified non-coding RNA is filed under the name Hevea brasiliensis (rubber tree). Lineage: Eukaryota; Viridiplantae; Streptophyta; Magnoliopsida; Malpighiales; Euphorbiaceae. The record is from RNAcentral.
UUCCUUCCCCCUGGCUCUUCUUGGUACUGUUUUUGGGAGAAACUGGAGUGGCGCUCCAAACAAUCCAUGCCGUGUCAAGACCAUACCUCGGCCUAUUCCCGAAAAGAAGUGGUAUCUGACACCAUCUGUAGUUUCCUUGAUGGGAGGAUUGCUGCCAUUUGGAAGCAUAUUUAUUGAGAUGUAUUUUGUCUUCACUUCCUUCUGGAACUACAAGGUUUACUAUGUCUAUGGUUUUAUGCUUCUUGUAUUUAUUAUUCUCAUCAUCGUCACCGUUUGUGUGACAAUUGUGGGCACGUAUUUCUUGCUGAAUGCCGAGAACUACCAUUGGCGAUGGACUUCAUUCUUUUCUGCUGCCUCAACAGCUCUUUAUGUUUAUCUUUACGCCAUAUAUUACUAUCACGUAAAGACUAAGAUGUCCGGUUUCUUCCAGACCAGCUUUUACUUUGGCUACACUAUGAUGUUCUGCCUUGGCCUCGGCAUCCUCUGUGGUGCUGUAGGAUAUCUUGGCUCUAACUUGUUUGUUAGAAGGAUUUACAGAAAUAUCAAGUGUGAUUAAGUGCUCAAACAAAGCAUAUGAAACAAUGCACCACAGUUUUGCAUGAUCCAUUCUACCUGUCACUUGUGGAUUUCCAGAUAAUACCAUAGCAAUCGGGUUACCUAAUGUGAAUGAAGAUUAUUUUUACAAGAGAUCGAAGGAAGAAAAUUAGUUAUUUCCAAUUUUUCUGAUUUAGAAUGUGUGGAAAUGUUUAGUAAAGUUGUAUGGGAGAAACAAUGGAAUAUUGUGCAACUUUUGUAGUGCAUACAUAUAUUACUUGCAUAUACAUUUGUUUUAUUACUUCAAAG